RNAcentral lists this long non-coding RNA (206 nucleotides) under Elaeis guineensis (African oil palm). Its description in RNAcentral is "long non-coding RNA (EGUI_LNC057747)". Lineage: Eukaryota; Viridiplantae; Streptophyta; Magnoliopsida; Arecales; Arecaceae. The record is from RNAcentral.
ACAAGGAUUGCCUUGGCUAAAGUCUUACUAAAUUGAAGCAUAAAGCAUUUUCUUCAAUCCUUUGUAGUGGUCAAUUCUAUCUUGACUCACGCACCGACUUCACAAGUACGUGACUGUGCCCAAAAAUCUUUCGAUUCUGAAUUAAAAAUUUAAAUAGUUUGGCACCAAAGCACAGUGAGUUGCUUGCAAGUCACCGUAGUGAUCUC